This 79-nucleotide ribosomal RNA is filed under the name Darkera parca. RNAcentral's name for it is "partial 28S ribosomal RNA". It matches the Rfam family "Eukaryotic large subunit ribosomal RNA", at positions 1 to 76 of the family's 3401-position model. The record is from RNAcentral. RNAcentral also lists the same sequence under 14 other names. Lineage: Eukaryota; Fungi; Ascomycota; Leotiomycetes; Phacidiales; Phacidiaceae.
GGUUGACCUCGGAUCAGGUAGGGAUACCCGCUGAACUUAAGCAUAUCAAUAAGCGGAGGAAAAGAAACCAACAGGGAUU